UAAUAUUCUUAUAGUUGAAAUACAACGAUGA
This 31-nucleotide transfer RNA is filed under the name Cerdocyon thous (crab-eating fox). Its description in RNAcentral is "partial tRNA-Glu". Lineage: Eukaryota; Metazoa; Chordata; Mammalia; Carnivora; Canidae. The record is from RNAcentral.